GCUCAGAAAAUGGAUGGAUGUUUUGAUAAACGUCUUCUUGAGGCUACUUGGCAAACACGCAUAUAAACAUAAAAUAAACAUUCCACGUGUCAUGUAAUGGGUUCGUAACGUGUCAUGCAAUGCAUGCAAUGGGUUCAGUCUGCUUUGAGAAAGGUGUGUAUAAAUAAACAAAGGAGUGGCAUCUUUACUGGCGGACCUUCACGAAAAAAGGGGAAGUGAGAGAAGCUAGAGGCAAAGGCGAAGAGGUGGCAAGAUUAGUUAGUUUAUAGAAUACUGUACUUGUGUUACACGAGGCAGGUGGCGACAAGAGCAAGGAGAAGGCCACUCAACACAAAUUCAGAAGUCAAGAAGUUUGGUUUCUUUAGUAAGGUUUUUUUUUAUGGUUAAUGACUUCACCUCUUGCUACAAUGAUAUUACAGGAGUUACAUCUGACACAAUCCAAUUAGAUCCAAUAAAAGACCUGCAUAAGACUUAAAUACGGCUAUGACCUAAAAUUCCUAUCACAGUAUAAAUUGAAUCCCGAAAGAACACAAAACUCAUUACGCCCCGUGUUAAAACGCCGCCCAGUGACACACUUGGGAGUCCGGCAUGAGUCACCCCGUCCACCACUGUAUAAGAACUUGAGCUGCCCAUUGACGUAGUUGCAUGAUUGGUCGGCAGUCACAUUAUGUCCCCACCAAUGAGUGUAAAUUGGCUUGUGUACUUAUUUUACAAUUAGAGUCCACAAUAACUAAUAACAUUUUGAAAGUGAGCCUCCUAAUGUGAUUUUUUUUUUUUUUUGUAAGCUACCAUUUUUCAUAAUGCAUGUACACACUGCUAUCUACAAUAGUGCUAUUUGAUUGACAGUUAGCAGUUGAGGGGGGCGUGGUUUCAGCACAUUCAGCGGCCACGUUUGAGAGAGGAGAAAAUGGCUUGAUUUUUCCCCCCAUUUUGAAGCCUCAUUUUAUACAACUGCAGAUUUUUUUUAUAUUUUAUAUUCGGCAGGGUUGUUAACAACAAACUUCUCUGGGGUGUGUGAAAUUUCCAUCCAUCCAUCCAUUUUCUGUACCCCUUUAUCCUCAGUAGGGUCGUGGGCGUGCUGGAGCCUAUCCCAGCUAUCUUCGGGCGAGAGGCGGGGUACACCCUGAACUGGUCGCCAGCCAGUUGCAGGGCACAUAGAAACAAACAACCAUUUCCACUCACAUUCACACCUACGGGCAAUUUAGAGUCUUCAAUCAACCUACCAUGCAUGUUUUUGCCAUGCGUGAGGAAACCGGAGUACCCUGAGAAAACCCUCGCAGGCACGCAGAGAACAUGCACACACCACAUAGGCGGGGCCGGGAUUUGAACCACGGUCCUCAGAACUAUGAGGACCAGUGUUUCGAAAAUGUUAUAGACCCAAGGCACAUAUUUUAAAUCUCACUGCACAACACUAAACAAAUAUCACAAAAAUACUUGUCUACAGGUAUAUACUGAAAUACUGAUGUCUCAAUUUCCACACAUAUUUACUUAGUGAAGGGGAAAUCGUUGCCUGUUUAAUUGAACACAAAGCUAUUAUUCAAUUGUAUGUGGGGGAACAGUUGAAUACACAGAUUAACUGUACCAACUGCCAUCUACUGGAAGAUUAUUUAAUUGUUAUGCCUGUCACUAUAUGUUGCUGGCAUCGAGGAAUAAAGAUGUUAUUGGAAGUAAGUAUAAUCACUGGCAUUAAACUAAACAUUAACAUUUCAUGUUGAUGAUGCCUACGCGAAGAAGGUGUUUAUGGGAUUGAUGCUGCAGUUACUUUAUCUAUGUGUACAGGCAAUUGACUGUGCAUGAAAAUGUGAAGCGCAUCUUGUAAAUACAUUAAAGCAAUGAUUCCCAACCUGUGAGAAAUCAUUAAUGAUGCAGUUUCACUUUAUUUGACCCAAAAUUAUUAUUAAUUUAUUACAAAUAUAUAUUUGUUCAUUUAUCUAUGCCAGUAGCGUAUAGGGACAGGAAAACCAAUUAAAUGCUCUUCCAUUAGGUAACAGAAGUUACAAUAAACCAUCCACCUUUGGUCAUUCAUACGAAAGCUAUGUGUUCACAAACAGACAUUUAACACUCAGUCAAUUUGUGGGUUGAUUGAGAUGAAAUGAUUACUUCAAAAUUCAUACUUUUUGUGACAUUUAUGUUUGAUCAUUUGUCGUGUAAAUUUAUUAAGCAAAAUUAACUGCUCAAUACAGGUUGGCAAAUACUGCAUUAAAGAAUUCAUCCAAUGGCUGAUAAUAAACACUACGUACUUGACUAAAGUAAGAUGUGUCAAUUGCUGCGUGACACUAUUUGAGAAAAGGAACUUGUGUUUGUGUUUUAGAUUUCAAAUUUUUGUUUUAAAUUUACAUUGACGUAAACAUGGUGCCCUAACGCGAACUGCCUAAUGCGUUGUUUACAAACUAAGAAGGGUGACUGUUUCCUGAUGUAUUCGUCAAGGUCGCCACCUGGUGGUGACUAUUCUGGUACGAAUGGUAUUUUUUUUCUUAUACGCACGUCUAUUCUAUUUAUUUAUUCUUUUAAUAUGUAAGUACGGUAUGGGAAAAGGAAACUACUGAGCUAAAAUACAAAACUACAUUAUUUUGGUUCACAAAGCAUCAUUUUAAGGCAACGUAUACGUCCUUCUGUUUAUACGUACGACAUUCCAGGAGGAACGUAAAGUCGUCAUGCGGUCAAUAUGUUUUACUACUUUCAACAUGAACGUUGUUGGGGACUUUUCAGACAUAAUAAAAACAUUAUGUAGUCCCCAAUGCCGAAACCCGGGAUCGAACCAGGGACCUUUAGAUCUUCAGUCUAACGCUCUCCCAACUGAGCUAUUUCGGCACGGCUAGCAUGCUCCCAGUUACAAAAUUCAGUGCUAACACGGCCCUGAGGCCAAUUUGCUUCCUCUUGGUCAUGAAUAUACGUCAGUUACGUCGUCAACCCGAGCCCAGUUUGGAGAAAACCUACCAUAAAGGGAGAAUAAGCGUCUUACCCUGGCUGUAUAUCGACAUUCUUGGCGUUUUUCCACCACUCCACCUCCGCGCUGUGGAUUUCUGGGCCUGGUGACGUUGUUCUGAUGGUUGAACACAAGGAGACGCUAGCGCAGCACACUUAACCACAAUUCAGGAAGCAGUCUCAACAAGGGCAGUCAAGAGAAAACACACCAGAAGUCACAUGAAUGUAAAAGUGGUGAGAGGAUGAUGGAGAAGAUAGCCCAAAGCCCAAGGUGGUUUCCAAGACCCGAGUUUGUACAAAGUGUGAUGUGUUCUCUACCUAUGGAGUGACAUAAAUCUUAACUUACGGUAACACACACAAUAGAAGAGCUGAUUGAGGGCUGGUUUUGUUAUUUCAUGUCCAGCACAUUUGUAAAUGUGAGCCCUGAGGAAAUAGAGAAACACAGGUACAGUGUAUAUGUGAAGGACUCAGUGCUGAACAUGGCAGAGGCUGAUCUGCCUCAAAGUUCAGUCCAAAACAUGAGCUUAAAAUGAAACAGUAUGUGAUUUUCUUACAUGUCAGCAGUUCUCUGCUUUAAACUACACGUACUAGUUUACCUGCUGUGACUACAAAGACAUUUUAGACGGACUGUUAACAAAAUAUUGCCCUUUGAUUUCCACUGAAAAGCUGAAGUGAUACAGUGGGAGUACAGUGGCCUGGCAUACACACAUAGUUACAACAUAAUUAGCUAGCCACAUAAUUAAAGUCAUCCUAAGCCAUCCCCCCGCUUUUAAGUCUCAUUGCUUCACUGUUAUCUGCAGUAAAUAGAAAACCAACAAUUGUGUGUUCACAUUCUUUUUGUUCACAUCUUAGGGGGUCAAUGCUUUGCUCACUGCAGAACACACGCAAACACAAGACUAUCUCUCAUACUGGAUCAUAUCCUCUA
Long non-coding RNA from Phycodurus eques (leafy seadragon), 3850 nucleotides. RefSeq lists it as uncharacterized. The transcript is spliced from 3 exons. The record is from RefSeq and is a predicted model, not a curated record. NCBI's taxonomy places the organism in Eukaryota, Metazoa, Chordata, Actinopteri, Syngnathiformes, Syngnathidae.